GACGGUAUAUAAGACGGUUAGAUUUCUACAUGUUUCUCUAAGGCAUCUUAUGUCAAAAUGGAAAUUUCUUCGGAACAUUUUUCCCAGCUGGAUAAAAGCUUGACAGAGGAGUCCUUGAGUGAUCUGGAUAUGAAAUUAAAAACGGCAGCAGGCCUAUGAGGAUCAUUAUGACUCACUUAUCCAGUUGUAAAUGAGGAGUCAUGGACUUCUGCUCCUUUGGGAAUCUCCAGCCCUUUGAAAAGAAAAUAGAGGUUAAAAAUCUGCUAAACGAGUUAGCAGCAACCUGGAUCCUUGUCUUCCACAGAUCUCAAAACUGCCCCCGUGCAGGGAGACAAUUUCUCAUCAGGCACCAGCAGCCGCAGCACCAAGCUCAUUCACGGAGGAGUCCGAUAUCUACAGAAAGCCAUCAUGAAAUUGGAUU
Seriola aureovittata is the source of this 421-nucleotide long non-coding RNA. RefSeq lists it as uncharacterized. The transcript has 3 exons. NCBI's taxonomy places the organism in Eukaryota, Metazoa, Chordata, Actinopteri, Carangiformes, Carangidae. The record is from RefSeq and is a predicted model, not a curated record.